GACGAACGCUGGCGGCGUGCUUAACACAUGCAAGUCGAACGGAAAGGCCCUGCUUUUGUGGGGUGCUCGAGUGGCGAACGGGUGAGUAACACGUGAGUAACCUGCCCUUGACUUUGGGAUAACUUCAGGCAACUGGGGCUAAUACCGGAUAGGAGCUCCUGCUGCAUGGUGGGGGUUGGAAAGUUUCGGCGGUUGGUGAUGUACUCGCGGCUUAUCAGCUUGUUGGUGGGGUAGUGGCUUACCAAGGCUUUGACGGGUAGCCGGCCUGAGAGGGUGACCGGACACAUUGGGACUGAGAUAAGGCCCAGACUCCUACGGGAGGCAGCAGUGGGGAAUAUUGCACAAUGGGCGGAAGCAUGAUGCAGCAACGCCGCGUGCGGGAUGACGGCCUUCGGGUUGUAAACCGCUUUCGCCUGUGACGAAGCGUGAGUGACGGUAAUGGGUAAAGAAGCACCGGCUAACUACGUG
Molecule: ribosomal RNA, 468 nt
Filed under: uncultured bacterium
Lineage: Bacteria
Description: partial 16S ribosomal RNA
Rfam family: Bacterial small subunit ribosomal RNA
Source: RNAcentral